GCUCUCGUAGGGUUAGAGCACCCGUUUAGUAAGCGGGAGGUCUUGAGUUCGACUUUCAACGAGAGCA
Molecule: transfer RNA, 67 nt
Filed under: Brassica napus (rape)
Lineage: Eukaryota; Viridiplantae; Streptophyta; Magnoliopsida; Brassicales; Brassicaceae
Rfam family: tRNA
About the family: Transfer RNA (tRNA) molecules are approximately 80 nucleotides in length. Their secondary structure includes four short double-helical elements and three loops (D, anti-codon, and T loops). Further hydrogen bonds mediate the characteristic L-shaped molecular structure. tRNAs have two regions of fundamental functional importance: the anti-codon, which is responsible for specific mRNA codon recognition, and the 3' end, to which the tRNAs corresponding amino acid is attached (by aminoacyl-tRNA synthetases). tRNAs cope with the degeneracy of the genetic code in two manners: having more than one tRNA (with a specific anti-codon) for a particular amino acid; and 'wobble' base-pairing, i.e. permitting non-standard base-pairing at the 3rd anti-codon position.
Source: Rfam by way of RNAcentral